RNAcentral lists this long non-coding RNA (6912 nucleotides) under Gallus gallus (chicken). Lineage: Eukaryota; Metazoa; Chordata; Aves; Galliformes; Phasianidae. The record is from RNAcentral.
CACAGAGCUUCAAGAGCCAUCAAAGGCUGAAGCGGCCCCCCUGAGACAUCGCCCUCAGGGCUCCAGGAACAAGAAAUAUAACAUCUUAGCAGAAGACAAAUGUAUUUAAACUAUGGUAGUUGAAAUACUUUUCUUCCCAAAAAGAGGGUUUUUGGGCACGGGGCGUAUUGACACCGAGCAUUUACAAACUUCACUCCCGCCAAGACAUCAGUGACGCGCUGCCCUCGUUUGCACACAUUUAUUGGUACGUCAGGAGCGGUUCGGAGCCGCCCGGCAGGAGAAAGCAGGCCCGGCCGUGCGGUACUGCAGACGCCGCCGCCCCUCAGACGAGUGCUGGGAGCGCCUCUCACACGGCGGCACCGCAGCAGCUGCGGACGGGAUCCCUCUGCUCCCGCCGCUGCGAAGCGCCCGGAGCCGCCCGGAGCCCCGCUUCCCCGGGCACGGUGAGGCCGCACCACCCGCCCCAGGCGAGCACCGCUCGGGGACGGCUCUGAGGGACCGCCGCCGCCGCCCUCCCUUGCUCGCUCUCGGCCCGGAGCAGGCCCCCCCGCCGCCGCAUCUCGGGGACGCCUCAGCACCGUCUCCCCGAGCCGCCGGCCUCCCCCGCGGCCGGCGCUGCGAGCCGCCCUCCCUGCGCGCCCGGCCCCCCCGCCCGGCGCUGACAGGACCCACCAUCGCCGUUGCUACCGUUGACGCUCCGGUUGCUAUGGCACGGCCGCCUCCCGCGCAUGCGCAGCGCCGCGGACACGUCGGGGCCGGGGGGGCCGAGCACGGAGGCAGCCACACCUGGCGACCAUAGAGCUCCGCCGCCGCGCACAGGCCCGGCCCGGAAGUCGCGUAGGGGGCGCUCCGCGACGCAUUGUGGGACGCGGCGCAGGGGCUGCCGCGCUCCUCCCGCCCGGCUUCGCCGGCAGCGGCUCCGCCGCCGGGCCCGGCCCGAGGGCUGCCUUCUCCCCCGCUUCGGCUCCGGUACCGAUAACAGAAAGGCCACGCCCCGCAUCCGUCACUGUGCGCUUUUUAUUGAAUUAAAUCACUUGGUGAAAGUUACAGCGAUUGACAGGUGACAGCCCGCGCCCAGGCCGCCCCUCACAGAGGCCGGCGCCCCCCGGCUGCUUCCCGCGCUCCUUCAGGCGCGGCCCGGCCUGCGCGCGGCUCCUGAAGCGGGUGCGGAACCCCACGGUUGACUUCAGCUCCUUCCUGCGGCACCUCCACACUCAGCUCAUCAAGUGAAUCCAGACAUCGGAGACACACUACGGGACGUCUGCCGUGGAAGGCGUGCGAAACUAUACCUUUUCUCAGUCAGUACCUCCAAUUCUCCAGUCAUUUUGGCGGCUCAAGCUCAGCAGCAACAACUUACAGGUGCUGAAGUGUUCAUCCCAGAUGCAAGUGCAGAAACUCCUGAAUCUUUCCCCAGGAAUGUUCCUGGGCAUGGGCGUGUGCUUUGCUCUCUCCACCCCCCAGAACAGGCACCCCCAGAACACGAUCCAGAGCUACCUGACAAAACGGAGUAGAAGGAGGAUCGAUUCGGUGGCCUGCUCCUGGAUAACUCAACAGUUCAAAGUUUUCUUUCCCAUGCUGGCGUAGACGCCCAAUUGCUAGCUCAGCAUAUAAGGAACUCUUCCACAUACGAUCAGCUUCCCCUACUACUAGGAGAAAGUGACCUUCUGCUUUUUCGAUGGGGAUUGUGCAAGAGGAAUUAGCAGGAUUCGCUGGGUCAUCCAGAGCUUCAAAAGUGUCAAAUACACCAGUGUCAGAAACGCUGACCUUAUUCAUAUCAAAACGCAGCCCAGGCAGAGUUAUCUCACCAUAAUGGAGGUCUGCAACUGUGUUCGAACUACAGCCGGAGAUACAGACAGCAGCCACUACUUCUGGUAGGAAGGUGAUCAUGGAGAGUGCUAAUUCUGCACCUUUCCCAGUCCCAAUCACUCCAACUCCUGGCCCUUUCACCUUCAGGUUAAGAUGGGGGUGUGGGGAAGAGAGGAAGAGAGGAAUAAAUAUAUGUUAUAAUAGGGUUAGCCAUUACAUGUCUUUGAAGUUGUGUUAUUAAAAAAAAAAAGUUAACUACUGAUGUGACCUGUUGGAAAGCUAUAGCCUGGAUCCAGACUUCUCCCAGGCAUCUUAUUCUUCAGAGCCAAUAACAAAUGUCAAACACCAUAAAAUAACACCGGUAUCACAUCUGUGCUAGGCACAACAAGUACAAUCACUUGGAACUCAACCACUGUAUAUUUUCGUGCAAAUAUUUUCCCCCAGACAGGUAGCAGGAACUUCAAAUGCCAUCAAUUGCAAAAUACGUCCCAGGCAUAUAAAGUCAUCUCACAAAUGACAUUUGAGAAUUAGAUGUGUAUUCAGCCCUUUCCUUUUCUAGCCUGGAAAGGAAAACAAAGUAACAUCUCAAGUUACUUAUCAAAUCAAUUCAUCUGUAGCAUUGAGCGGUGCUGUGCCAUCUUCUUGUAAGCUAAUUGCUUUCAUUAAAAUAAACAAAAGCCCACAAACAACACCACAUAUGUACAUCGCCACUGCUCCUGUUUGAAGGCUGUUCCAGCACUUCAUUGUCCUCAUGAUCAGGAAUUGUCAAUUUUCCAGUGUGAAUUUAUUUAAUGGCCUGCUUGUGGUGGAAGAAAUGUGCUCUGCAGCGAUACGCAUAGCUGUCCACGUAGGACCUACGCUUUUUCCAUUAUGGGACCUAAAUCUGCCCAAAGACACUCCCAAGAAAAUCACUGCUACCACAUGGGCGUAACUACCAAAUCUUCCCUAGUUCCUUGUCUGGAGAGAUCUCUCUUUACACUCACCUUUGGGUGGCGCUGUAGAAAUCUAGCUGCCUCCUGAAAGUACUCAAGUUUAAAUUCUUUCAUGACCUUAGGCAGAUCUUCAAAGUCAAAAUAUGGCAGAGAAAGAGCAGCAAAACCACGGGUAGCCAGGAGACUGGAUCUAAAUUCAAUCAAACCUCCUUCAUCACCAUACAUGUCAAUCACUCCUGGAAAGGGGCCAUCCCCUGGAUGGAGAAGAGGUACAGAGCACAAGUUAUCAAACAGGACUCUAAGAAGUAUCUAGUUCAGUUUGAAAAUCAAAAUAUAGAAAGCAUUAGAUGUUUUCUAUAACUACUCAUCAAUUUUCUGUUUGCGCAGCUGAGAUUAGAGAUCGGUGCUGUAUCUGACUUCAGCUAUUUCAGGUGCUGAGCUGAGCAGGUUCUGAGCUUCCUAUGAAAGUACGUGAACAGCUAAACAUGCUUUGUUAAAAAUGUUUUCUCAGUGUAUUUUUCAAUGAUCUUAAACACCAACCCUCAAAACAACCAUGCUCCAAAUCAGCUCUUUUCCCCACAAAGAAGCCAUUUCUUAAUUAGCAAAGUGAAAACACAUUACUAAUGAGGCAAUAGCAUUAAGGCAAAGGAUAUACAAACCCCGAAAUAAGGCACACCAAGAAAAGCACAGCAGAGACACCCACUGCAGGAUGAAAUCAGCUCAACUUACUCCCUCUAUCUCGACAUCAGCACUGUCACAGCCAGCAGCCAAAUUGCUACUGCAAGUAUGAAAAGACAGAGUAAAACUGAGAGGCGCGUGGGUGCAGUGAGGUGUGUGCGACCGAUGCACAGAUAAACAUGCAUAUACGUGCAUGUCCUGUCAAACUACAGAGAUUUUCAGAACCACAACUUCAAGCAACCAUGGUUUUGCAGUGAAGGUUGUGUUGUUAUAUUUCAAUCUGAUACGCUAGCAGAUUUUGUGUUAAAGGCUCUUGCAACCAUAAGGAGCCCAGGUAUUUUUUGUUUGUUUAUUUUGGGGAGGUGUGGUGUCUUGCCACCAGAUGUCACUGCUGAUGUAUUCAGAUCCAGGUCACAGCUCUCAGUAGAAAAGUACGAUUGUGCAAGAGUGCAUUAAGCCUCUGGCAUUAUUUAUAUGUGGCAAAGACAAGACCUCUCAUAUUUCAAGGUGCUUGAAAAAAGAAGUUUUGGACAAGACGAGUUAGAAGGUAGAAACCUCCUAAUGAAAUGCAAAAGUCAGAAAAGUGCUGAAACAUGCUUUUGACUUCUUUCUCAGUUCUAAAACCUCUCAUUAAAGUUCAGUAUUCUAUAGGAGAGAAAAACAGUAGCAUUCUUUUAUUUCUCACCCCUACACAUUCUAGUGAGAGUGUAUGACCAGAACACAGUGAGGAAGGACUGCAUUUCUCUCUUUCAUGAAGAUAACCUUCAGCUUACACAAGGACACCCAACUGCCUUCCUGAAUGCCUGCAGAGCCCAAGUGUAGUUUCUCCACAGUUCAAGAAAAAGCAGGAUAACUUUUUAGACAACUUUAUUACUGCUUAAAAACAUUACAGCCUGUAACUUUAUACCUGAAAUGAGAAAUAUCUUUCCUAUCACAGUUGCAGCAUAAAACCAUUUAUGUAAUCUCACUUUUACUAAGGAUGAUUGAUCCUUUAUUUAAAAGGAUGCCAGCAUCAUUUAAGCAAUCAUCUCAGACUUCUCCAUAAUAUUACAACACCAGACCUUCUAAAGGGAAAAAUACAGUUCCAGCUUGCAGAUCUCUGGAUUUCCACUGAGCUCAGCAGAAAUUUGGCUCAUUCUCUAAGGCAGGAUGUAUCAACCACAUCUCAGUGUGAGAUAUUUCAGAAUGCUGACUAAACAUUUGAUCCAAAAUUCAAAGUCCAAUCUAUGUUGGGUUUUUUUUUUCCUUCUUUAGCAGACUUUGGUCUGUAUCUAAAAGGUUAAUAAAGAUUAUUGGUUUGGAAAUCAUUCACCAAGACUUUAAUCCCUGAUAAUUGUAGCAGCACUUAGAGGAUUUGCAGAACCAACCUACUCCAGAGGCAAUACGGAUGGAAGUUCUCGCAGUACAACAGCCACUGAAAUACGGAAGUUUAAAUCACGGCUGAAGCAUUCCAACACUGCCAGCAGUGUAAGGUUUCAACUUCCAGCAACAGCAGCAGCCCAUCGGUAUGCCACACUUCAUAGAACACAGCCAUCCCACGGGGAGAACAGGCAGAGCUUCUUCAGAUAACUACACAGAACAACAGAACUUGCUAAACUAGCAGCUUAGCUUGAGCUCUGGCGUAACAGAACUGUAAUACUUUACUACAGUCUCCUCUGCGACUCUGCUUAUCAGCACGUGCUUCAUGGGGAGAAAAAAUGCCUUUUAAACUUAAUCCUCAGGCUAAAAUCCUGAACAGAGGCUCACACAGCGAGGCCUAUCAUCUUUUGCGAGCGUAACGGGUUCUGGUAACACCAGAAAAAAGCACAAUCUACAGAAACUCCCCACCUGAGAGCAGUGGCGUGGAAAACUACAAGCCUUUGUCUCGCUUAGCUUCCACCCAUGCCAGAGAGGCACCUGCCCACGCCUGUGCUGCUGACCAGCACGGAGCAGCAUCCCCAGAAGACAAAAGAUGCCCCAGAGAGGCGACCUGUCUGCGGGUGGCCUUCAGUUGUGCUUUGGAACAGGAUGCCCCAGGUGACCCCUGCUCCGGGCAGAGGCCGGCCCCCACUCACCCGGCGGCAGGAAGAGGGAGCCCCUCACGCCGCCCUCCUUCAGCCGGAUCCUCCUCACGCCGGGGGCCGUGAACCACCUCUCCACCUCGGCCUUGGCCAUCACCGGCCCGUGGAUGGCGCCGGGCUGGCUGUGGCCCUGGUGAACCAACAUCUCCACCUUCAUCGGGGUGCCGGUGCUGCGGGGAACGAGCCGCUGGUACGGCCUCUCCAUGCCCGCGGGGGCCAGGCUCCAGAAGAGCCCCAUCGGCUCCACGCCGGUGUAGUUCCCGCCGUGCGAGGCGUCCGUGCCCAGGUGCAGCUCGCCGCGGCCGUCCGCCCGGUAGUGCGCGCACGACUGGAAGAGGCAGCCCCGCUCGUCGGACACCACCGCCCGCAGCGUCACCGGCUGUCCCGGGCCCAGCCCCGCCACCCGCGUGUCCACCCGCUCGUCCGCCAGCCCGGCUGCGGGGGUCACGGCCACGCUGACCGUCCGGCGCGCCGGGGCACGGCACAGCGCCCGCGCGGGGGCCUUGGCGGCGACCGCCGCUCUCCACAUGACGGCGGCGCGGGGCCGAGGGCCGCGGAGCAGACGGAGGCGACGACGACAGCUGCCGCCCCCGCCAGGCAGCCUCAAUCGAGAGCGGAGCCCUCCCGCCCGGCGGGCGUUUCUGCGGCGCCGACACGGGGCCGGCGGGGGGGAUACGCCUCGCUCACCGCCCGCCUCCGCGCCGCGUCCCGGCGGCCCGGCCCCGCUGUGGGACCCCGGGUGCGGUGGGCGGUGGAGCGGCUCGCGGAGCCCUUCCCUCCCGCCGCGUCCCGUCCAGCGUGCACAAAUCAACCUCUGCUCGAGUUAACGUUUCACUUUAAUGAAUUAGAAAAGCGCGGAGAGUGCAAGGUGCAUUAAUAACCUGUGGGAUUUACGCGCAAGUCGAACGCUGCAUAUAGCCAGCUAGCUGCGUGCGCUCAGCCUGCACCCUUUGUAAGGCACCGAAGGGGUUUUCAGCUGACCGUGAAGAGUCGCCAGCACUUCCCUAGCAACAUUCAGUGCUUUCUCUUUCAAGUGCGUGCUCAGGAGACAGAAACUGCUCAGCAUCUCCAGAACAGAACCCUGCUGCUGCCCACUCCUCUGAGAAAGCCAGAAGGGAAGCCUGUUUUUUCAGUUCUGUUGUGUAUGCCCAGAAUGCAGUUUCAGGCUAUGGGCUGUUGUCAUCACUCCGUGGGAGACUUGCUAAAUGCUAGAUCUCAAAAUGGACAAUUAAGGCAGACAUACAAUUCAGUGACAUGAGAUAAGAUUACUGGAUGUAGGUAGAGAGAACAGCUACUUCCAAACAACAACAAACAAAAGUGCACUGUCUCCAGUAAGGACAGUGGCAUCCAACAUGCUUCCUCUGAGGAAGACGUACGAGUUAAAUAUAUUUUCAUCCCACCUCUCAGCUGAUUUACCUUCCACUUAAACUCGCUUU